RNAcentral lists this long non-coding RNA (1559 nucleotides) under Macaca mulatta (Rhesus monkey). Its description in RNAcentral is "lncRNA (ENSMMUG00000064177.1)". The record is from RNAcentral. Lineage: Eukaryota; Metazoa; Chordata; Mammalia; Primates; Cercopithecidae.
CCAGACAACAUUCAGCAAGGACCUGAAGUCUGCCAACAGUUACAUGAGUGAGCCCGGAAGUGGAUCCUUCCCUAGUUGAGCCUUGAGAUGACCACAGCCCAGGAAAAGAAAGAAAUAAAAGCGAGACAAUUUCUGCAUCACUCCCUAGAACCACGGAAAUGAUUUUAAUUACCAAUUCAUCUGUUGGCAGACUCUUCUGGCAGAUGUACCUGCAACUUGGAAAGAUAACAAAUGAACCAAUUCCUUACUCCAGAGUUGACACUGAUAGUGCUUACUGAAUUUGCUCUCAGAAAAGAAUCCUGGGCAACAAUACAUCUGGCACUCUGCUCGAGGAAUUUGUCAUGUCAUUGACAUGUUCAGCCUCCAUUGUCCACACCACCCCGACAGCAGGUCCUUUAUAUUUCAAAGAAAUUGCAGCCUGAAUUAAUAUAAUUAGAAUGUAACUGCUAUUCACUGCAGAAACUCCUUAUUUCCAGGAGUGGAGAUCUGAUAGCAUGUCUGUACUUAAAAUCUUUCCCAUGAUGGUUGGAGGGGAGCAAGCAGAUAAUAAAAUGACAGAAUAUAUGCUAUUUCACAGACUUUUUGAAGUAUUAGCUAAUGGAAAUAUAGGGGGAGAAGAAAACUGUUCUACCCUUGGCAUGUAUAAAUAGAAACAUCUUUUAAGUUUACUUGCCUUUAUAGUACUUCCAUAAAAUAUGUUCUAAAGAGUAUCUAAACUCAGAGAAAUAAAUUAAAUCAGAAAGAUUACAUAUCUCCAAAAAGUAUGCAAUGAAGCAUGAAGUAGAGUGGCUAAUUCAUAGACAGAAUUACAGAUUUCAGAGAUGGUUGAAUAACUUCAGUCAUUUUUCCCUGCUUCCCUUUGAACAGUUGAUGUCACCAACUAAGCAACUGUCACCAAGUUAAUAACUUGGAUGCUGGAUUUUUGAAUUUUAUUCUUUGUUAGCAUUCUGUUUCUACAAAUACUUGAUUAUUGAUAUAGUGGAAACUGACAUUGGCAUCUUUCUUUUGAAAAUAAGAUUGAUUCACAUUCUUCCAAAUAAGUUAACAUUCUCACUGGGAAUGAUUCAUUUGAGGGAGAACAAUGGCCUGGCAUAUCAAUGUAUAGGCUGGUGCUUAUGGCCUCUUCUCUGAAGAAUAUAAUGUUUAUCCUUGUACAUGUUAUAGACUGUUUGUAUCCUUCUGAAAUGUAUAUGUUGAAGCCCUAAUUCCCAGGGUAAUGGUAUUUGGAUAUGCAGCCUUUAGGUAAUUAGAUUUAGGAGUCUUGAGGGUGGAGCUCUCAUGAUGGAAUUAGUGUCCUUGUAAGAAGAGGAAACAAAGAUCAGAGUGCUUGCUCUCUCUUUCUCUCUCUCUCUCUCUCUCUCUCUCUCUCUCUCUCUCUCUCCCCCCCUCCCCUCUGAGCCCUGCCUCCAGACCUCCGACUAUGUGAAGAUACAGUGGGAAGAUGACUGUCCACAAUAUAGGAAGAGAGCCCUCACUGAGAAACCAAAUUGGCCAGUAUCUUGAUCUUGGAUUUCUCAGCCUCAAGAACCCUGAGAAAUAAAUGUCUGUUGUUCAAGCCA